GGCCAGCAUGGUGUAGUGGUUAGAGCAUUCGACUACAGCUCUGGAGACCAGGGUUUGAAUCCUUGCUUGGCCA
Non-coding RNA from Phrynosoma platyrhinos (Desert horned lizard), 73 nucleotides. Lineage: Eukaryota; Metazoa; Chordata; Lepidosauria; Squamata; Phrynosomatidae. The record is from the annotation of a GenBank genome assembly.